RNAcentral lists this ribosomal RNA (253 nucleotides) under uncultured bacterium. Its description in RNAcentral is "partial 16S ribosomal RNA". It matches the Rfam family "Bacterial small subunit ribosomal RNA", at positions 524 to 776 of the family's 1533-position model. The record is from RNAcentral.
GACGAAGGGGGCUAGCGUUGUUCGGAAUUACUGGGCGUAAAGCGCGUGUAGGCGGUUGUUCCAGUCGGGCGUGAAAGCCUUGAGCUCAACUCAAGAAAUGCACUCGAUACUGGAUGACUUGAGGACCGGAGAGGAUAGUGGAAUUCCCAGUGUAGUGGUGAAAUACGUAGAGAUUGGGAAGAACACCAGUGGCGAAGGCGGCUAUCUGGACGGUUUCUGACGCUAAGACGCGAAAGCGUGGGGAGCAAACAGG